Canis lupus familiaris (dog) is the source of this 1515-nucleotide long non-coding RNA. RefSeq lists it as uncharacterized. Lineage: Eukaryota; Metazoa; Chordata; Mammalia; Carnivora; Canidae. The record is from RefSeq and is a predicted model, not a curated record. The transcript has 3 exons.
GCUAAGCAAUGACUCUCUUUACUCCAAGUCUGGCUGUGAGGCUUUAAAAACACAACAUUCUCAAGAGCAGCCUGAGCUGGGAGGACAGAGUCGUCAACUUUCCAGCGUCUCAUUUAAAGAAACAGGCUGGCCAGGAAUUUGGGGUCAGAUGCCCCGGCUGGACUUGGCAUCAGUGUGGUCACUCUGUCCGGCCCCAACCCAGAGCCCAGCCCAUGAGGAGUGCUCUGCCCAGGGGGGGCUGGCUGCUGGCAUUCUGAGGGUCCCCAUUGCCUCUGGAUGUACAGAAGUGGAAAGAUGUCAUGGGGAGGUGCUCAGGACACCCCCAAGCUGUGAUGAAGGGAGUGUCUGCUGGUACUUUUGCUCCCCCAAGUCCUGGGUGGACACUCAGGUCCCAGGGGAGGUGCUGGGAGUCUACCACAUCCUGAGGACAGUCAUCGCUCCAUGUAGCUCCUCUGGUGGCCAUGGCCUGGGGAGAGGUGGAUUGAAGACUUGCUCAGAGGCCUGAUUUUCAUCUGGAAGGGACAGCUCUUCCAGCCACAUUUCCCAUGGCCUUGCCAUCCUCUCUGCCUGGACUCCCAGCCUGGCAGCACGACCUACAUCUAAGCUGUGGGGUGCCUUGGGAGAGCCUGCCAUGGUCUGGAUUCCACAGCCUGCCCUCUGAGGACACAGGACACUCAUCUGUCAGGUGACAAGAAUACAGAUGGGGCAUAUUGCUGCGAGGAUCCAGGGCAAGGCCAGCCAGAGGAUGAUUCAUGUUGGAUACACAGAAGUUGUGUCACUGGGGAUGCAGGAAGGCCAAGAGAUGGAUCUAAGGUAUGAGAGAGGGUUGAAUCCACUGCAAAACCCAGGAGGCCUUUCAGCAGAUUCACCGUUUUCAUGAGUCUGCCCCGCACAUUGCACAGUAGAUGAAAACACGAAGUGCUGCAUAGAGAGAAGAAAACACCUGCCAGCUCCACCCACUCCUCCUCUUACACGGCCUGAAAUUCCACCACCACCACCUCUUGUUUGUGUGUAAACCUUGCCUUCCACAAGCUCCUUCAUAAGCAAUAAACACUCAUGACUCCAAAAAUAUAUAUUCAUCACUAUCCAACCCAUGAUUGUUGUUGUCCAGAUGGGGACACAGAAACUCAGAGAAUGUCAUUAACUUCCCCAAAGCCGUGCUAUUCAUGUCUAUAACUCAAGUCUUCUGACAGAUCCAAUGCUUCCCUGUAAACCACAAAGUCAUCCAUCAGACAUCAUCACCGAAGACUGUAUAUCAAAAGUAGGAGAGCAGAUAAAUCUAGGAGGUUCCACAACCCAUGUGUAGUUGUUAAGUGGGAGGAGAAGAAAGCCUUCUAACCUAUUUGUGCAUAAAAACCAAACUGCUUUGGAGUGCCAUCACCUUGCUAGGCCUUGGUAACCUGCCUGUGAAGGAGAGAUAACUCUCCUUCAUCCCAGGGACAUGGCACAACUGGACAAGCCCUGGGUAGCCAAAGGAUGAUAUGAGAGAGGCCAAUCAGAAAACAGGGAAGAUGA